AUUGAACGCUGGCGGCAGGCCUAACACAUGCCAGUCGAGCGGAUGAAGGGAGCUUACUCCUGGAUUCAGCGGCGGACGGGUGAGUAAUGCCUAGGAAUCUGCCUGGUAGUGGGGGAUAACGUCCGGAAACGGGCGCUAAUACCGCAUACGUCCUGAGGGAGAAAGUGGGGGAUCUUCGGACCUCACGCUAUCAGAUGAGCCUAGGUCGGAUUAGCUAGUUGGUGGGGUAAAGGCCUACCAAGGCGACGAUCCGUAACUGGUCUGAGAGGAUGAUCAGUCACACUGGAACUGAGACACGGUCCAGACUCCUACGGGAGGCAGCAGUGGGGAAUAUUGGACAAUGGGCGAAAGCCUGAUCCAGCCAUGCCGCGUGUGUGAAGAAGGUCUUCGGAUUGUAAAGCACUUUAAGUUGGGAGGAAGGGCAGUAAGUUAAUACCUUGCUGUUUUGACGUUACCAACAGAAUAAGCACCGGCUAACUUCGUG
RNAcentral lists this ribosomal RNA (484 nucleotides) under uncultured bacterium. RNAcentral's name for it is "partial 16S ribosomal RNA". It matches the Rfam family "Bacterial small subunit ribosomal RNA", at positions 30 to 507 of the family's 1533-position model. The record is from RNAcentral.